Oreochromis aureus is the source of this 2513-nucleotide long non-coding RNA. The record is from Ensembl. Lineage: Eukaryota; Metazoa; Chordata; Actinopteri; Cichliformes; Cichlidae.
UUUCAGUGAGGAGGACUCUGAAGAGCGGCCUCGGUGUGGAGGUGGUUCAGGCUCUGGGGCUCAACAACAAGACGGCAGGAGACCGAGUCUGAGCUGCGACUGCAGCUGAUCGAUAAAUCGGCGAACUAUUGAUUACAGAGACUGAACCCAGACCAGCUGAGCGGCUCCAGCAGACAUCGGGAGACGUGCGCUCUGCGUUUGGAGACUCUUCCACCGGCACAUCUGCCGCAGCUGUUCAGACACUUUGAUGUAGAAAUAGUUGUGAGAAGAAUUCUUCUCGCGUGACAGAUUUUUACUGGUUUCCUGCAGCUUUGAAACUCACGAGGAAAUCUGGAUGCAGACCUGCGGUCUUACGGAGAAAUGAGUUUAAGGUGGAUUCGCUGUCAGGUGUCCGUCCAGAACUGAAAGUGUGAGAGUCGGAUAAAUGAAAUGAGAGCAGAAGCACAGCAAAGCCUUCGACUUCUCAAACUGCUCCCAUGUUUGUUUUUGGAGUUUUAACUUGAAUCACUGCCGACUCUGAAGUGUCACUCUGUGCUGACACUGUCGGUGCGUCUCUUCCUGUCUGACUCUCGGCUCGAGCUCAUCGAGAUCUCAAAACAGAGUUUCUGGGUUUCGAACACGUGGCACGCUCGGGCACGCCACACCGGCUGUUCAGAGGCCGGGGGUUUGUUGUUUUGGGACAGCAGUUUAUGAAAGUUGUUUCUGGGUUUUUUGGUGAUUAGUUUAAAUUUAAACUUUUGGUAUUUUGUUACAUUUUUCACUGACUUUAAGAUAACUUUGGGAAGUUUCCCCAGUUUAUAAAAUCUGUGUGUUUGCUUUAAGUCGAGCAAGGCCUCUCCUACACACGUCGCUUCGUACUCAUUUUUGUUGUUUGGUCUUCUGUGUUACUGCCACCUGCUGGACUGGAGUGUUACUAUAAUCUUUGGAGCGACGUGUAAACAGACAAUCAGCGAUGUGAAGGAACAGUUUCGCUCCUUAAAUUAUAAACUUACUGGGAAUAAAAUUUCAUAGCUGUUCUUAAUAUGAACUUUCCUAAAUUUAAGUUUAAUAAGUUAAAAAAAGAAUAAGAAAGCCACAUCAGCGUGUAGUUUCUGAGCACGUCUGCAAAGCUGGAUCCAGAUUUGAUGCCGCUCGAACAGUUGGAUGAUGCGCUCAAGUCGGAACAUGACAUCAUGAGUGAAACUGGCAUGGGAGCAGUCUGAGUUUGUUUUACUGGCCACAUAUCCAAACACCCGUCCUCCAAAAUGAAAUUGAGGGAAAUAAAAGUCAUCCGGCACAUAAAACAUUUUUAAUUGGUGGGCUUUACUGCUGCUGUCAGGUGAUCCAGGCUCCAGUUCUCUGCAUUUCCAGUUUUUAUGCUAAGCUAAGCUUUAUUUUUAAUGUGCUGUCGUAUUUCACAGGAUGGACUCUUCUGUUAAAGGUUCGUCACACUGGAUGGCCUCAAAUUCUUUAUUUCACAGCCAAAAACUGUCAGCGAAGGAUCAGGAGGAGUCUGAGAGUUCAGCAGAAACAGCUGCUAAAAUUCAAUAGAAACAACAGGCUGGUGAAUAUGUUUAACUUAUGGAAGUGUGUGAAAUAUCCUCACGUUUGGCUCAUUAACUGGUCUGUUUUAACUUUAAAUCAGGAGACUGUGAGACUUUAGAAAAUAUCAUAAUAAAAUUACAAUUUUAAACCUGUUUUCUAAAAUAAAUGAAAGUGCGUUUGAUGGAUUUGGAGGCAAAUGUACUUCAUAGAAAGCUCAGCUGACGUAAUUAUCAAACAGCAGGGUCCAUUUAGUGGCUGUUCUGGAGCUUUUGGAAUAAUCUGAGGAAUAAGUUGCAAAUAAAAGGUCAGAUUCUUGUUAGAUUUAAAAUUUGUCAUCCUGAAGCUGAUUUGCACUCCGACCUGCACAGAGUUGAAGAGUUUGGAGAGUUUGCUGUCGCAGCGUCACAAACUUCACAAACAACACAAAGGUGUUCUGUUUAAAACUUGACAGUUGUAUAGUUUUAUUUAAAUUCAAGGAGAAGGUGGGCUCAUCAGGUCAAAACACAUGGCACAGACUGGAAGGCGUGGUCACACAGACUCGGGCACUCGUGGAGGCGUGGUCUUCAAACUAAUUAACACUCAGUUUGCAAACUUUUAAUCACACAUGUUAAAAAAAAAAAAACUCGGAUUAAAACCUAAAAUCACUAACGUGGUACAAACAUCUGUGUGUGUGUGUGUGUGUGUGUGUGUGUGUGUGUGUGUGUGUGUGUGUGUGUGUGUGUGUGUGUGUGUGUGUGUGUGAGGGAGUGAUUACAGGACUGACCGUGUGCGUUCGGUCUUGGUGUUUUUUGCACUCUGAGGUGUUUUUUUUAUGGUCGCGUUUCUUUCUGCGACUGACUUCAGGUCAGUUUGUGAAAAUCUUCUUCACAUAUGUUUUUUUUUUUUUUUUUUUUUUUCCAUUCACAAACUGAUGACGACUUUGUUUUAACUUAAAGAGCAAGACGAACAUUUUAUAGAAACAUUAAAUGGAUGGUUGAAUGUGUCGCUGG